Molecule: non-coding RNA, 30 nt
Filed under: Cricetulus griseus (Chinese hamster)
Lineage: Eukaryota; Metazoa; Chordata; Mammalia; Rodentia; Cricetidae
Source: RNAcentral
CAAUGGGACCUGAGAAGGUGGGGGCUGUGU